Molecule: ribosomal RNA, 450 nt
Filed under: uncultured bacterium
Lineage: Bacteria
Description: bacterial SSU rRNA
Rfam family: Bacterial small subunit ribosomal RNA
Source: RNAcentral
CUAGAACGAACGCUGGCGGCAGGCCUAACACAUGCAAGUCGAGCGCGCCCUUCGGGGUGAGCGGCGGACGGGUUAGUAACGCGUGGGAACGUACCCUUUGGUAGGGAAUAGCCACUGGAAACGGUGAGUAAUACCCUAUGAGCCCUUCGGGGGAAAGAUUUUAUCGCCAAAGGAUCGGCCCGCGUUAGAUUAGGUAGUUGGUGGGGUAAUGGCCUACCAAGCCUACGAUCUAUAGCUGGUUUUAGAGGAUGAUCAGCAACACUGGGACUGAGACACGGCCCAGACUCCUACGGGAGGCAGCAGUGGGGAAUCUUGGACAAUGGGGGCAACCCUGAUCCAAGCCAUGCCGCGUGAGUGAAGAAGGCCUUAGGGUCGUAAAGCUCUUUCGCCUGUGAAGAUAAUGACGGUAGCAGGUAAAGAAACCCCGGCUAACUCCGUGCCAGCAGCUGC